CUCCUCGACACUUGCGGGACAUUAGAUAAAAUUGGAACAACAUAGAGAAGAUUAGAAUGACCCCUGCACACACAAGAAGAUUAAAGAGUACUUCUCUUAUUUC
This 103-nucleotide small nuclear RNA is filed under the name Nicotiana attenuata. The record is from RNAcentral. Lineage: Eukaryota; Viridiplantae; Streptophyta; Magnoliopsida; Solanales; Solanaceae.